RNAcentral lists this ribosomal RNA (723 nucleotides) under Vibrio sp. 12A06. RNAcentral describes it as "bacterial SSU rRNA". It matches the Rfam family "Bacterial small subunit ribosomal RNA", at positions 33 to 735 of the family's 1533-position model. The record is from RNAcentral. Lineage: Bacteria; Pseudomonadati; Pseudomonadota; Gammaproteobacteria; Vibrionales; Vibrionaceae.
ACGCUGGCGGCAGGCCUAACACAUGCAAGUCGAGCGGAAACGACACUGACAAUCCUUCGGGUGCGUUAAUGGGCGUCGAGCGGCGGACGGGUGAGUAAUGCCUAGGAAAUUGCCUUGAUGUGGGGGAUAACCAUUGGAAACGAUGGCUAAUACCGCAUGAUGCCUACGGGCCAAAGAGGGGGACCUUCGGGCCUCUCGCGUCAAGAUAUGCCUAGGUGGGAUUAGCUAGUUGGUGAGGUAAUGGCUCACCAAGGCGACGAUCCCUAGCUGGUCUGAGAGGAUGAUCAGCCACACUGGAACUGAGACACGGUCCAGACUCCUACGGGAGGCAGCAGUGGGGAAUAUUGCACAAUGGGCGCAAGCCUGAUGCAGCCAUGCCGCGUGUAUGAAGAAGGCCUUCGGGUUGUAAAGUACUUUCAGUUGUGAGGAAGGGGGURWMGUUAAUAGCRWYAUCUCUUGACGUUAGCAACAGAAGAAGCACCGGCUAACUCCGUGCCAGCAGCCGCGGUAAUACGGAGGGUGCGAGCGUUAAUCGGAAUUACUGGGCGUAAAGCGCAUGCAGGUGGUUCAUUAAGUCAGAUGUGAAAGCCCGGGGCUCAACCUCGGAACUGCAUUUGAAACUGGUGAACUAGAGUACUGUAGAGGGGGGUAGAAUUUCAGGUGUAGCGGUGAAAUGCGUAGAGAUCUGAAGGAAUACCAGUGGCGAAGGCGGCCCCCUGGACA